GUGCUCACUUCAGCAGCAUAUACACUAAAAUUGGAGUGAUACUGAGAUUAGCUUGGCCCUUGCCCAAGGGUGACAUACAAAUUCAUGAAGCAUUCCAUAUUUUU
This is a small nuclear RNA of Lutra lutra (Eurasian river otter), 104 nucleotides long. The record is from RefSeq and is a predicted model, not a curated record. NCBI's taxonomy places the organism in Eukaryota, Metazoa, Chordata, Mammalia, Carnivora, Mustelidae.